AUAGCAUAUUCAUAGCGGAGGAAAAGAAACUAACAAGGAUUCCCUAGUAACUGCGAGUGAAGAGGGAAGAGCUCAAAUUUAAAAUCUGACAGUGUUUUGCUGUCCGAGUUGUAAUCUAGAGAAGUGCUGCCCGUGCUGGACCAUGUAUAAGUCUCCUGGAAUGGAGCGUCAUAGAGGGUGAGAAUCCCGUCUUUGACAUGGACUGCCAGUGCAUUUGUGGUGUGCUCUCAAAGAGUCGAGUUGUUUGGGAAUGCAGCUCUAAAUGGGUGGUAAACUCCAUCUAAAGCUAAAUAUUGGCGAGAGACCGAUAGUGAACAAGUACCGUGAGGGAAAGAUGAAAAGAACUUUGGAAAGAGAGUUAAACAGUAUGUGAAAUUGUUGAAAGGGAAACGCUUAAAGUCAGUCGUGUCGGCCAGGGAUCAACUUAGUUUUAUUAGCUGGGUGUACUUCCUGAUCUGAUGGGCCAACAUCAGUUUUGACUGCUGGAAAAGGAUAGAGAGAAUGUGGCACCUUUGGGUGUGUUAUAGCUCUCUGUCGGAUGCAGUGGUUGGGACUGAGGAAAGCAGCAUGCCGCAAGGCCGGGUUUCGACCACGUUCAUGCUGAGGAUGUUGGCAUAAUGGCUUUAAUCGACCCGUCUUGAAACACGGACCAAGGAGUCUAACAUGCCUGCAAGUGUUUGGGUGGCAAACCCGAGUGCGGAAUGAAAGUGAAAAGUUGAGAUCCCUGUCAUGGGGAGCAUCGACGCCCGGACCUGAGCUCUUGCAAAGGAUCUGCGGUAGAGCAUGUAUGUUAGGACCCGAAAGAUGGUGAACUAUGCCUGAAUAGGGUGAAGCCAGAGGAAACUCUGGUGGAGGCUCGUAGCGAUUCUGACGUGCAAUCGAUCGUCGAAUUUGGUAUAGGGGCGAAAGACUAAUCGAAUCAUCUAGUAGCUGUUCCUGCCGAGUCUCCCUCCAGAGAUAAA
Molecule: ribosomal RNA, 962 nt
Filed under: Amanita sp.
Lineage: Eukaryota; Fungi; Basidiomycota; Agaricomycetes; Agaricales; Amanitaceae
Description: partial large subunit ribosomal RNA
Rfam family: Eukaryotic large subunit ribosomal RNA
Source: RNAcentral